UGUAAGCGUAUACCAAAGUUGUUGCAGUUAAAACGCUCGUAGUCGGAAUUUGGCAGUUCCGGAUGUGUGCACGUCGUGUGCGCACUUCGCGGGGAUUGCUUUUGUGGUCUUGCGUAGGAUGAGGCACUUUUAUUAGUGAACGUCCUCACGCAACCACUUUUUACUGUGAGAAAAUCAGAGUGCUCAAAGCAGGCAUUUGCCGUGAAUGUAUUAGCAUGGAAUAAUAGAAUAGGACUUGGUUCUAUUUUGUUGGUUUGUUGGGACUGAGUAAUGAUUAAGAGGGAUAGUUGGGGGCAUUUGUAUUUCGGUGCUAGAGGUGAAAUUCUUAGAUUACCGAAAGACAAACUGCUGCGAAAGCGUCUGCCAAGGAUGUUUUCAUUGA
Molecule: ribosomal RNA, 382 nt
Filed under: uncultured eukaryote
Lineage: Eukaryota
Description: partial 18S ribosomal RNA
Rfam family: Eukaryotic small subunit ribosomal RNA
Source: RNAcentral